Molecule: ribosomal RNA, 424 nt
Filed under: uncultured bacterium
Lineage: Bacteria
Description: bacterial SSU rRNA
Rfam family: Bacterial small subunit ribosomal RNA
Source: RNAcentral
UGGGGAAUUUUGCGCAAUGCUCGAAAGAGUGAACCAGCCAAGUCGCGUGAGGGAAGAAUGUCCUAUGGAUUGUAAACCUCUUUUGUCAGGGAGCAAAGUCAUCCACGUGUGGGUGUUGGAGAGUACCUGAAGAAAAAGCAUCGGCUAACUCCGUGCCAGCAGCCGCGGUAAUACGGAGGAUGCGAGCGUUAUCCGGAUUUAUUGGGUUUAAAGGGUGCGUAGGCGGGUUAUCAAGUCAGUGGUAAAAUCGUGGAACUCAACUCCAUCCAGCCGUUGAAACUGAUGAUCUUGAGUGGGCGAGAAGUAUGCGGAAUGCGUGGUGUAGCAGUGAAAUGCAUAGAUAUCACGCAGAACUCCGAUUGCGAAGGCAGCAUACCGGCGCCCGACUGACGCUGAAGCACGAAAGCGUGGGUAUCGAACAGGA